GGUCGGGGUUUCCAACAUAGCAGAGCAGCUCUCUGCUGCGAUCUAUUGAAAGCCCUGGACACAAGGGUUUGU
This 72-nucleotide ribosomal RNA is filed under the name Ailuropoda melanoleuca (giant panda). RNAcentral's name for it is "similar to 28S ribosomal RNA". Lineage: Eukaryota; Metazoa; Chordata; Mammalia; Carnivora; Ursidae. The record is from RNAcentral.